Long non-coding RNA from Syngnathoides biaculeatus (alligator pipefish), 1045 nucleotides. RefSeq lists it as uncharacterized. The transcript has 4 exons. The record is from RefSeq and is a predicted model, not a curated record. NCBI's taxonomy places the organism in Eukaryota, Metazoa, Chordata, Actinopteri, Syngnathiformes, Syngnathidae.
CCGGACUAACUUGUUCACUUCCUCCGCAGGGGAAACAGGCAAAUUACUGCUUGCUAGUAUGCAUACAUGUUUGCAGACAAUUGGUUGUUGUUGUUGUUCGUGACAUACAGCACAACACGUAGCCUGCAGAGGUUCACAAACUUGUUGGGUCCAGUUAUUCCUUUAGUUUAUUACAUUUUCAUCUGAAGUUUUGUGUCGACAAGCAUGGUUGCUCAGCCUGUUGUCAACGAUGAGCUCAUCCAAUCCUCUGACGGGAGGUGACAUGACUGAGACAAACAAAGCCGAACUCUCAGCAUUAAAAAUUCUUGGCAAAGUGCAGUGACUCAGAUGUGAAGUAAUACGCUCCAGGCAGACUGCAGCUCCAGAUUAGAGUCUGUUCAUGUGAUUAAUUCAUCACAGUACACCGGGUCAACAGAGUUUCCACAAUAAGGCUUGAAAGCAGCCAACCUUCUGCUGGUCUGACAUCAUAGGUUAAAGGUUAAGCCUGACUCUCAAGCGCCAUCACCAUGGGAACCAAUGCUGUUACAUGAUGGUGUGACCUCAUCCCGCCAGCCGAACUGGCACCUGAGGGUUACUUGGAAUUCAGCUCAGAGAAAAGUAUGUACGUGCCCCUGAUGUGAAGACUAAUUUGCAACACCAGCGCAAACCAUGUAACCACCAACCACUAACGCAACAAUUGGUACUGUUUGAUGUCUUAAUCUUUUCAAAUUUCAAUAAACCAAUUAAAUAAAAGGAAGUAUUCAUCUCAGUGUAGUAUAAUUUUGCUGCACAGCCAAGAAAGAACAUAGUCAUUUGAUAUUCAUUGAGUGUUGAUGCGUUACUGGAAGAAGAACUAACAAAACUGUGAAGACAACAAAUGAUUCUGUCUCACGCCGAGAGCUGCAAUUUGCAUUUUAUUGUUGUAUUAUUUUUUUUCCCAUGAUCAAAGUACUUUAUAGUGUUAAAAGAUGUGAGGAUCAUUCAUCAAAUUUAGUCUGUAUACAAAGAAGCGAGAGAAAAUACAUUUGUACCUCUUUCAGAAGAAAAUAAAACAUCAAGCAAUCGA